AAAGGGUCCGCAGGCGGAUUUAUAAGUCAGUGGUGAAAUCCUAUCGCUUAACGAUAGAACUGCCAUUGAUACUGUAAGUCUUGAAUUCGGUCGGAGUGGGCGGAAUGUGUAGUGUAGCGGUGAAAUGCAUAGAUAUUACACAGAACACCGAUAGCGAAGGCAGCUCACUAGGCCUGAAUUGACGCUCAGGGACGAAAGCGUGGGGAUCAAACAGGAUUAGAUACCCCAGU
Molecule: ribosomal RNA, 230 nt
Filed under: uncultured bacterium
Lineage: Bacteria
Description: partial 16S ribosomal RNA
Rfam family: Bacterial small subunit ribosomal RNA
Source: RNAcentral